Molecule: small nuclear RNA, 134 nt
Organism: Erinaceus europaeus (western European hedgehog)
Lineage: Eukaryota; Metazoa; Chordata; Mammalia; Eulipotyphla; Erinaceidae
Gene: U4
Rfam family: U4 spliceosomal RNA
About the family: U4 small nuclear RNA (U4 snRNA) is a component of the major U2-dependent spliceosome. The structure of U4 snRNA from yeast and human has been reported.
Source: Ensembl
AGCUUUGCGCAGUGGCAGUAUCAUAGCCAAUGAGGUUUAUCCGAGGAGCGAUUAUUGCUAACUGAAAAAUAGAAUUGAGCAAAAAUCACACAUGAAAUAUUACAGUUGUUGUCUCUUGUAAGGUCAGUCAUGGC